Molecule: long non-coding RNA, 350 nt
Organism: Tupaia belangeri chinensis (Chinese tree shrew)
Lineage: Eukaryota; Metazoa; Chordata; Mammalia; Scandentia; Tupaiidae
Exons: 3
Source: RefSeq, a predicted model, not a curated record
CGUCCCCUUAGGUCCCUCCCGCCCGGUCGCGGCUCACAGACUCCGCCUUUUGUAGUGCUGCUAGUCGGGUGGUGAAGAUCAUGUUUCCAAGUCAUUUCUGCCAUUUCCAGCUAUCCCUCCCUCUCUCCAGGAGCAUCUGCUUGGGAACAACAUUCAUCUUUUAUAAGGACAAUCAUAAUGUACUGACAUAGUCUCAAUACAUAGGUCUGUCCUUAUGUAUUAUAAAGCAAUAAUUGCUCACUGCUGCCUGGUCCUAGUGUAUUUGAUUACUGAAGAGGAAUUAUCUGUGAUCACAAUAAGACUGCUGGGUAUAAGAGCUGGCACAACACCAACAGGGCUGACGAGGCCCU